AGAUACUUCGGCGAGAUGUACAAGUUUUGGACCAUAUUUUAACAAUGGAAAUCAAAACCCAUUUUAUAUUGAACUUGCCCAGACCGAAAAUUACUACGGCGAACGCCUGCGCAACCAGGCCUCCUAAAACCAUUGGGAUUUACGGGGGGGAGGGGAAGAACGCCGCCUGCCCACUUCCCGCUUUUUGGAAUUUGCAUGCUGUGCAAUGGGAAACAUCAUAUUGUCGUGCAUAUAUCACGUAUUUUAUAAUAAGAAAUGUAUUUAAAACAAUUUAUGAUGUCUAUAUAUCAUAUUUCAAAUUAUCCUUUUAUAUAACGAUCAUAUUUCGACUAAGGAAAAAUCGAAAAAUAAUAUAUAUAUAGACAUCAUAAAUUGUUUUAAAUACAUUUCUUAUUAUAACAUACGUGAUAUA
Molecule: non-coding RNA, 412 nt
Organism: Paramuricea clavata
Lineage: Eukaryota; Metazoa; Cnidaria; Anthozoa; Malacalcyonacea; Plexauridae
Source: the annotation of a GenBank genome assembly